Molecule: long non-coding RNA, 211 nt
Filed under: Mytilus galloprovincialis (Mediterranean mussel)
Lineage: Eukaryota; Metazoa; Mollusca; Bivalvia; Mytilida; Mytilidae
Source: RNAcentral
GUGGUCUUGAAUUGAAUACACCUUUUAAAAGUCUUAUUAUGUAUGGAUGUUGGCCUACAGGAAUUUUUUCUAUAGGCGGUAAGACUGUAGAUAACAUGGACCUAUAUCCAGCUAUUGUUCUAUAUUGAAGUCCCUUAGUAAACAGACCUGUCAAAAAAUCUGCUACCUCUGUCAAAGAGGCAGUAUAGGGAUCAAUUUCCCUUUCAUUACA